UGUUUUCAUAAAAAUUUUUAUAGUAUAUUUUUUAUGUUUUUUUAUAAAACCUGGGCCACCAUAGUCAAUGAAAUCUACAAAUGACAUUUUCUUCUCAGUAAACUUCUCAGGUAUUUUUAAGGAACUGUAAAUUAGAUCAAUUACUUCAUCAGUUUUUUAAUAUAUAUCCACUUUUUUUAGUUUUCUUAAUUAUUUAUUUACAAAGUCAUGAUCAUUAGGCAUGAACGAACGUUCCUCUAACAAAGAAAUACUUUCUUUGUUAGAGGAACGUUCUUGUUUUGACCAGCAAAAAGUUCUCACUAAAAAGUUCUAGGUUUUAAAUCCAUCUGAAAUGUUAUUUUUUAUGUACCAUAUUUUUUGUCCUGCGGUGCAAUGGUGUUUCAACAAUAAAAUGUACUUUAGGAAUAUUGUUUACAGCAGAAAAAGAACAAGUACCGGACGUGUUUCCUAUCUGCAAUAAAAGAAAAAUUGAUGUUGAUACCAUACCAAUAAAAAUGUAGAUCUCUUUCUAAUUAAAUAUCGUGUCUACCCAUUUAAAACUGAUUUGUGCUAAAAAGUUAGUUAUUUAAAUUUUGAGGACUAGUUAUCUUUCUGUAGUUAGCAGUUCAUUUGUUAUAUAUAUAAAUUUUAUAUAUGUUGUUAUUCUUAUUUGCAGAUUAUUGGUAGACAUGAUCUGAAAUGAGAAAAAAAAUCAUCAGAUUUAAUGACUUGGAACCUAUUAAUUUUUAUCAAAAAAUUCCGGAAUCCUUUUUGGGGAUUUGGGGAUUUGCAUCACUGCAUUACAAUAUUCAGCCAAGAAAACUGACACAAAAACUGUUUCAAAAAAAAACUGCAAUGGACAAAAAAGUAUGCUGUAGCAACGAGAGUACAUGUCAAGUGUUGCCAAAUAGACAAAAAACGCUCAAUGCAUAAAAAGAAAAGUAUUAAACCACUGUUAAAUCACUCACCUCUGUGAUGAUCUGGUCAGUGAUAUGUGGAAGGGAAAUAAGGAGACUCUACAUUGUUGAGAGAAUAAUGAACCAGCUAGAAAGGUCCUGGAACAAAGAUUGUUGCGAUAGUUAACAUAAUGACUUAAUUCAGAUAAAAAAAAAACCCUUUAUGGAGGACGGUACGCCACGUUAUGUGACUGAAUCGAUUAAAAAGUAUCUAUCAGAACAGAAUAUUCCAUUACUUGAUUGGCAAGUAAAAUCUCCCGACCUAAAUCCAUAAGAAAAAAACAAAUAAAUAAAAAAUUUGAAUCCGAUAUACUAUUAUAUGUUACAUAAUAUAUGUAUUAAGUAUUCAUUUGGCAUAAAAAUGCUAAAAAUAUAAAAAUAUAUCUUUGA
This is a non-coding RNA of Hydra vulgaris (swiftwater hydra), 1325 nucleotides long. NCBI's taxonomy places the organism in Eukaryota, Metazoa, Cnidaria, Hydrozoa, Anthoathecata, Hydridae. The record is from RefSeq and is a predicted model, not a curated record.